Molecule: long non-coding RNA, 422 nt
Filed under: Phoenix dactylifera (date palm)
Lineage: Eukaryota; Viridiplantae; Streptophyta; Magnoliopsida; Arecales; Arecaceae
Description: long non-coding RNA (PDAC_LNC002569)
Source: RNAcentral
AUUAAAUCAUAUUUAUGUAGAUUUAUUUUAUAUUCAAAUCUAUUUGUAUAUGAAUAAAAAUUUAAAGUUUCAAUUAAUAUCCGCAUCUAUAUUUGUAUCCAGAAAAAAAGAUACAAAUAUAAAUAAAUGACUAUUCGAUACGUAUCCGAAUAUCUAUUUUUAAAUUUAUUUAAUUUAAAAAAUAAAUGACCAUAUUAAUGUAUUAUUAACUUGAUUUAUUAUCCGCUUAGUCAUAUUUUUGAUUUUAUGGUCAUAAAAUUUAAUUAUUCAAUUUAUAUCUGUACUUCUAGUAUCUGAUUUAUAUCUAUGUUUUUUUAAAGACAAAUAUGAAUAUAAAUUUUUGUAUCGAAUAAAAUAAAUAUGAAUAUAAAUAUACCAAUAUUCGAUAAAUAAUCAAUAUAAUAUCUGAUUUCAGCCCUAUC